AGUGAACGCUGGCGGUAGGCCUAACACAUGCAAGUCGAACGGCAGCACAGUAAGAGCUUGCUCUUACGGGUGGCGAGUGGCGGACGGGUGAGGAAUACAUCGGAAUCUACUUUUUCGUGGGGGAUAACGUAGGGAAACUUACGCUAAUACCGCAUACGACCUACGGGUGAAAGCAGGGGAUCUUCGGACCUUGCGCGAUUGAAUGAGCCGAUGUCGGAUUAGCUAGUUGGCGGGGUAAAGGCCCACCAAGGCGACGAUCCGUAGCUGGUCUGAGAGGAUGAUCAGCCACACUGGAACUGAGACACGGUCCAGACUCCUACGGGAGGCAGCAGUGGGGAAUAUUGGACAAUGGGCGCAAGCCUGAUCCAGCCAUACCGCGUGGGUGAAGAAGGCCUUCGGGUUGUAAAGCCCUUUUGUUGGGAAAGAAAAGCAGCAGGUUAAUACCCCGCUGCCCUGACGGUACCCAAAGAAUAAGCACCGGCUAACUUCGUG
RNAcentral lists this ribosomal RNA (492 nucleotides) under uncultured bacterium. RNAcentral's name for it is "partial 16S ribosomal RNA". It matches the Rfam family "Bacterial small subunit ribosomal RNA", at positions 29 to 507 of the family's 1533-position model. The record is from RNAcentral.